This is a non-coding RNA of Ciona intestinalis (vase tunicate), 364 nucleotides long. The record is from RefSeq and is a predicted model, not a curated record. NCBI's taxonomy places the organism in Eukaryota, Metazoa, Chordata, Ascidiacea, Phlebobranchia, Cionidae.
AAGACACUUUACUAAUGAAAACGGAUGCUUCGGAAACAAUCAAACCGUGCUAAAUGUAAUAAAAGCCGCUCAGUUUUGCAAUAAUUCAUCAUUUCUUUCAAGAAAAAACAUGAACAAGUCAGCACUUUUUCUCUUGCUUCUCAUCGGACUUCUCGUCCUCACCGAAACCAUUACUGCUGCUGUUGAUGAGUGGACUGGUGAUCGUCGCCGUCGUCGCAGAUGGGCAAAGUGGAACGAAAAGAGCAGCAUGCUUAACGAAAUCAUGGAUGCCAUGGAAGAAAAUGAUCUGUACGCACAGCAAUAAGCGUCCAUUGUACAAAUUAAAAUCGAAUGAUAUAAAUAAAUAAUACAAAAUGCGAGAAUA